UUUUCUAAUUCCUUUUAUGUAGGUUGCAAAGCAGAGCUUCCUUGCUGACCGACACCCCUCUAAAACAUGGUGUGACUCAUAAUAGGAGCCUGCCGCUAUGUGGCUAGGAAAAUAGCAGCCUCCCUGCGCCGUGAGGAUCUGGGGGAGCCCAUGACUGUGUGCAAGAAACAAGUAUGCCGAAAUGGCAAGCAAGACCUCACAACAAUGCCACAAUCCACAUGUUGUUCUGUUGGCCAGGGGUGCCCCCCUCCUUCUGCUUUAGAAGUUGGGACCCAGAAGCCUCCUACAUGAUGGAACAAAACUGAGAACAGCAAGCAGUGAAUGACGGCUCAUUUGGCAACUCCUGAAUGUGUAGGAAUCAAAUGGACCCGAGGAUCUUUCUGCUGCUCCUGCAUCCCCCAGCCACUGUUUCACUUUGAAAAUAAAAUACUUCACACACUUUA
Molecule: long non-coding RNA, 443 nt
Organism: Eublepharis macularius
Lineage: Eukaryota; Metazoa; Chordata; Lepidosauria; Squamata; Eublepharidae
Exons: 3
Source: RefSeq, a predicted model, not a curated record